Molecule: small nuclear RNA, 168 nt
Filed under: Notechis scutatus (mainland tiger snake)
Lineage: Eukaryota; Metazoa; Chordata; Lepidosauria; Squamata; Elapidae
Description: U1 spliceosomal RNA (ENSNSUG00000007410.1)
Rfam family: U1 spliceosomal RNA
About the family: U1 is a small nuclear RNA (snRNA) component of the spliceosome (involved in pre-mRNA splicing). Its 5' end forms complementary base pairs with the 5' splice junction, thus defining the 5' donor site of an intron. There are significant differences in sequence and secondary structure between metazoan and yeast U1 snRNAs, the latter being much longer (568 nucleotides as compared to 164 nucleotides in human).
Source: RNAcentral
AUACUUAGCUGACAAGGGAGAUACCAUGAACAUGAAGGGGUUUUUUUCCCCCUCCAGUUGAGACUCAUUCAUUACAAUGUGGGUGUGCUGCCCCAUGUAAUUUCCCCAAAUGUGGAAAAACUUGACUACAUAAUUUAUAAUGGAGGACUGUGUUCAUGCCUACUCCUG